This is a non-coding RNA of Pelobates cultripes (western spadefoot toad), 347 nucleotides long. The record is from the annotation of a GenBank genome assembly. NCBI's taxonomy places the organism in Eukaryota, Metazoa, Chordata, Amphibia, Anura, Pelobatidae.
GAUGGAGAGAUGGGCAGGUUGGAAGAAGAGAGACGGGCAGGUUGGAAGAAGAGAGACGGGCAGGUUGGAUGGAGGACAGAGACGAGCAGUUUUGAUGGAGAGAUGGGCCGUAUGGAUGGAGAGAAGGGUAGGAUGGAUGGAGGAGAGAGAUGGGCAGGAUGGAUGGAGGAGAGAAAUGGGCAGGAUGGAUGGUGGAGAGAGACAGGCAAGGUGGAUGGGGGAAUGUGAAGGGCAGAGCAGCCCAUGAAAUCCUCUGUAGCUGUACACACUGUAAGUCUUCAGGUUUUAUAAACCUACAUCCAGGUGACAACACCCGUCCUCCUACCAGAGUAAUAACACACCUCAAG